AGCCAGUAGUGUUUUAUAUUCUUUAGUCUCUUUAUGUAUAGAACCACCAGCCCCGCCCAUUUUUACUUAUCUUAACCAUACUAUAAUAAUAUAAGCAAAUCAUCGCCAAUACUGCCGUCCCAUCAAUCGUCGUUUGCCAACCGUCUACAUUGUAAUCAGAAAUUACGGGGUAUUUUUUUUCAUGUAGCAUUUACAACCGAAUAAAUUGCCUUAAAAACCACAAUACCGUGUGUUGGACUAUCAUUUAAGUGAGUUCACACUCGCGUUUUGGCAAUUCAAGAUUUAUUCUAGUCGUUGCCCUUAAGAGGACACCAAACCUGCAUCUAUUAAACUACCGAUUUAAAAAACGCAAAACAUA
This is a non-coding RNA of Cinara cedri, 358 nucleotides long. The record is from the annotation of a GenBank genome assembly. Lineage: Eukaryota; Metazoa; Arthropoda; Insecta; Hemiptera; Aphididae.